GAUGAAGAACGUAGCGAAAUGCGAUAAGUAAUGCGAAUUGCAGAAUUUCCGUGAGUCAUCGAAUCUUUGAACGCACAUUGCGCCCGCCAGUAUUCUGGCGGGCAUGCCUGUUCGAGCGUCAUUUCAACCCUCAAGCCCAGCUUGGUGUUGGGGAUCGGCACAGGCGCCCUCGGGCGCCCGCCGUCCCCUAAAUCUAGUGGCGGUCCCGCUGCAGCCUCCUCUGCGUAGUAGUUUUCUCCUCGCAAGGGCAGCUCGGUGGCGACCUCGCCGUAAAACCCCCAACUUCUGAAAGGUUGACCUCGAAUCAGGUAGGAAUACCCGCUGAACUUAAGCAUAUCAAUAAGCGGAGGA
Molecule: unclassified non-coding RNA, 351 nt
Filed under: soil metagenome
Description: partial contains 5.8S ribosomal RNA, internal transcribed spacer 2, and large subunit ribosomal RNA
Rfam family: 5.8S ribosomal RNA (bases 1-121)
Source: RNAcentral